UGUGGGACGCCACCACUGCUUGGCUUGAUGAGCCAUAUUAGGUCUGUGCCCAGGAUCCAAACUGGUGAACCAGGGCCACAGAAGUGGAGUGCCUGAACUUAACCACCUGGCCAGGGGGCCAGUCCCAGUACGAUAGUUCUUAACCCUGGUAGGGCAUCAACAUCACCCAAGAAGUUUUUAAGAAUAUGUAUUUCGGGCCUCACCCCUGGCCUCCUGAAUCGGAAUCCCCAGGGGUGGGCCAAUGGCAUGUAGACAUUUAGAAAGCUCUGCAGGUAUGUCUGAUAUAGAGUUGAGAAUCACUGAUAGAAGAGGUUGAGGGGAGGCCCAGCGGAGAAGCGCCCAGUAUACUAACCUAUGAGGGUUGCUAAAAUAUGAGUAGACAUAAACAGAAGUAUGGUGCCAGUUUAAGUCCAGUUGCCAGUCAAGUGAUUCUAAAGAACUUGUUGCCACACAUGUGGAAGAAGACAGCAUCCUCCGGCGGAUGUGAGACCACGCUUCACCAGCGUGGCCCACCCUCACUCAAGAAUUGUUGAAUAAAUAUUUCAAGUAGAUUAGUUAGAAGCAUACUAAGCUACUCCCCUGUCUGGGACACGAGGCAAUUUUCCUGCCCAGUGUAAGUCUUCCUCUUGCCCCAAGAGCGGGACAGAUUAUGGACUUUCAUAUCUUUCUUUUGAGCACUGGCUUCUUUUGUAAAAUGGAGAUAACAGUCUCAUUAUUUAUAAAUUUACUUAUAUUUGCACUUGUUCUUUUUGUCUUCCUUCUGUUGUUUGAAUGAGAGAUGUCCCUCCCGUGGACUUUAAGGCCAAUCCUCCACCUGUGCGCAGGAUCUCUUCUGACUUUGGGAUUCUCCCUUAUUUUCCUCUUUUUUUUCCUUACAUCCUCAACUUUUCCUUUUUUCUGGGUCCUUUCCAUUAGUGUUUAAAUAUGCUGCAUAUCCAGCCUCAAGAACAGUGCCUGGCAUUAUGUGGACCAUCAGUAAAGAUUUGUUGAGUGAAUGAAUGAAAGAAAGAAAGAAUGAAUGAAUGAAUGAAUGAGUGCUCAAGGCUCUUUUAUUCCCCCAAAUGCUUCUCUCAACUCUAUAUCCCUCUCUAGCUCUUUCCUGCCUUCAAACAUUCACUCCUUAUCCUUUCUCAUCUCCGGUUCUUUCUCAACUGAUAGAAUCUGGCUUCCAUCACUACCAUUCCACCAAACUCUUACCAAGGCCACCCAGGACAUCCUUAUUUCUACAUCCAACCGAUAUUCUCAGUCUGUUAUCAUACUUGAUGUCUCAGCAGCAUUUGGCACUGUGAUCGUGUCCUCAUCUUUGAAACACCUCCUCAUGGCACUGUCCUGUUUUCUUUCUUCCUUUCAGGAGACUUUUUAUUCUCCUUAGUGAACUCUUUCUUUCUCCUCUAUCCAUCAUCUAGAUAUUGUUGUACCUUGGUGUUUAACCUUAGGCCCUUUCUCAUGUAGCUCAACACAUUUUCCUUGGGGAAUUAAUUUCGUUCCCUGGUGUCAAUUACUUUCUGUGUGCUCGUAAUCUCCAAAUGCAUAUUUCAAUUCCCAAACUGUCUUGAAACGCAGACCCAUAUCUUCAACCAUCAACUAUACAUUAUCUUCCAAAGACUUCAAAAUUCAACCUCUCCAAAAUGGAAUUUAUCAUCUCCCUCGAAUCUACUUCUGUUCUCGUGUUUUCUGUCUCAGUGGAAGGUAUCUCUGUUUAUCCUGUCUGGCCUGAGCCAGGAACCCGGCCACUGUACUCACUCCUCUUUCUCUUGGUCUCUCAGCUGUCUGCUCCCUGCCUCCAUAUGUUCCUGUCAAACAUUGUCUUAUUAUUUCUGCAUGCUGUACAUCUUGAAUGUGUUUAUAUUCUUGAAUAUAUCUUGAAUACAUUUAUACUUUUUAAUAUAUCUCGACUAUGUUUGUUUUUCUUUUUCCCCAAUAUAACUAACGGCCCUAGUUCAAAUUCUCAUCAACUCUUGCCUGAAUUUACCAUAACAUCCUCUCAAACAUUCUCUGGCUUCCCCACACAAUAACCAAAAGAAUCAUUCUUAAACACGAAUCCAGUGAAAUCACUCCGUUGUUUAAAACAGUUCGGUGAUCCUCCAGUACUCUUAGGAUAAUGUCUUUAACUGGCUUAGUAGGACUUGCAUGAUCUGACUUGUUCACCCUAUUAGUCUCACUUGGAAGGUUUUUCUAAAGAUUAACGUGGAUAUAUGUCAAUGUAGGAUAGCACUAAAUAAAUAAGGCUUUUCCAUCUCUUAAUCGGACCCCUACUUUACACGCAAGGAAAAUGAGACUCGCUGAGGCUGAGUGGCAUGCACUAAUGCACAUGGCUAGUUAAUGAUAGAGCUGGAAUAUUCAAGCACGUCUAGUUCAGACCAAAGGCAGGUAGAAUUCAGGACAACACUGGCUAAAAUUUAUCUUGUCCUUCUGUGGAUCUCUCAGCUCAGAGGGAAGGAAGGAUAUGCUUACAAAGAGAGAUACAUACUUUUUUGCUUUCCCUAGCUGCGUCCCAAAGUAGUAACUUGUUUACUUGUUCUGACAGAAUGGUUAAUAUCUGCUUCAUUGGCUUACUGUGUGAUAAUUCUUUCCCUUCUUCAAAAUAAUGUAAUCACGGCCAAACCACAGGGAACAAACAAGAUCAUUAGGAGCUUUGUGAGUCAAUGAACUUUAAGCCCUUCCUGCUGCUCCCAGACAAACCCCUAGCCAAGAACCUGAGUGAGCCUACAUGCUGAAGAGCUUCCAGAAGUUUCAAAAGGAGCAGUGGAGCACAACUGGUUUCCUUGAAUAAAUGGCCUCUGUUCAAAUUUGCUUUUUGAUCACUCCUUAAAAUCACGUGCCGUAUAAAAGGGCAUUCAUAAAUAUGUCCCGUCCCAGCCUAGUGUUCCCCUAUUGAUAGUGGUGGAGUGGAGGGGGUGGGGAGCCGUACUUGGGUACAUUUCGUCUUUUUAACAUGGGAAUUGGAAGAGACAGUUUUAGCCAAUUUUAGGGAUACAUUUGAAUUUAUAAGUACUGUGUUUAUCGCGUAGAUGUUAGAAAGGAAAUUGGCAUUAUUUGUAUGAGUUUGGGUCUUAAUAGCUUGUUAAUUUCCUAUUAAUGUUAACAAGGUAUAAACAGUCUGUGGUAGGCAGCCUCCAAGAUGACCCAACCAACCCACAUCCUGUAGUCUCCUCCCACACUGCAGCAGGGUUGGUCUGCGUGACAACAGAAUAUGGCAGAAGUAACAGUAUGUCGCUUCCAAGAUGAGGUUAUAAAAGACACUGCAGCUGCAGUCUUGGGUUUUCUCUCUCUCUCUAAUUCUCUCUUUCUCUGAUCACUUGGGAGGAAACCAGAUGCCAUGUGGUAAACAGUCCUACAGAGAGGAGCACAUAGUGAGGAACUGACGCCUUCUGACAACAGCCAUGUGAGCGAGCUUAGAGCAGCUCCGAAGCCAGAUGAGAAGACGAAGGCAAAGAGUGGAUACGAUAAAAACACUAGGGAGUGCCAGGAUUCGAGUCCAGGCAGCCAGCCCCAGAAUCCCCGGGAUAACCAUGAUACUACAACACAGCGUGAAGAUGAGAGGAGGCUGUGGGAACUCAGAAAAUGGAUUUAUUGCAGCAUGUGCACUGGGGAAAUUUGCAGCAGCGGAAACUGGGCACUUUGCCUAGGAACUGCAAACAAGUCACGGUGCAGCUGGGAACCGGCUGACAUCUCUAGAAUCAGGAUUACUUGUUCCAAACCGCCUUUCCAGGCACAGGAUGAAGUGAUGUGACGUGAUUUCGCCUCAGACAAUGGGCUGUUUUUCCUUCGCCAAGGCCUAGGGUGUGAGCAGUAGUCUCCUCAGAGGAAGGAUCAAACUGUGGGCUGUGUUCGAUUUUGCGUCUCCUCGGCCUCUCGGCACACCUGGGCCUGGGAAGCGUGGGAGACACAGGCACAACUUCUCAACAGCUCCUGAGGGCCUCGGGCUGGUGGAACUGUUGCUGGGUGUGCAGGCCAAGCAUUGCUGAAGAUUUUGCCUGGGUUGGCUAAAGGAAAUUUUCUCGAGUUCUCAAGGAUCCAAAAUGUUAACUUCUUAUCCUAACAAGCAUUCUCCGCUUAUCUGAUAUAGGUUUAUGAGACUGAUUUCAGGUAAUUACAUCAGUGAGAAUAUAGAGAAGGUUUUGGUUAGAGGGCUAUGAAAAAAAGAUUUAACCAACAAAAAUAUUUUUUCUAACACUGAAGUUGAUAUUUUUUGUUUUUACAAAAUGAUCAAAAUAAAAUUUCUUAUAGAAAUCUGUGCUAACAUAAAAAAUAACUUGGUUAAAUAAAACUGGAUUCAUCUCAUCUAAAUAUGUACCCACAGAGUUCCUUUGUAGGUGGGAAUGCUUGAGACUUUUGACCCUCAGUUUCACAGGAUGUUUUCUCUAGACUUAUUAAUUUAUAACACGAUUAAAAAGACCCACUAUUAUUUCUUAUAACUAGA
Equus quagga is the source of this 4423-nucleotide long non-coding RNA. RefSeq lists it as uncharacterized. NCBI's taxonomy places the organism in Eukaryota, Metazoa, Chordata, Mammalia, Perissodactyla, Equidae. The record is from RefSeq and is a predicted model, not a curated record. The transcript has 3 exons.